CUGCUGCGCUGCCCUUUUUCCUUAUUCAGGCCUUUGUUGUAUUUUGUUAAGGUUUUUACUAAACCUUUUAAAAUUUUUAAAAGCGAGUGUCUCUCACACCUUCCACGCUGAUCCAGAAAAUGAAAUGAGCUGUCCCUGCAACCAGGCUUUGAUGUGAACAAAAUAAGACUUAAACAUACCUGGAGCUGUGUGGUAGCCAGCCCUGUUUCCUCCUGUCCCAGCUUGCCAAAUGGAGUUUCAGAAUUUACCUUGGACUUGUUCUUUUAUUGCAUCUUGUCAGAGGAUCACUGGAUGGCCACCAGAGCAUCUGCAGCCCAGCUCUGCCUGGAUGCUGUGGCACUGGCCUGCCAGAUCACCACACUGUUACCAUUGUGACUGAGAAGGGAAUUACUGGCAAACCAUUGUUUGAACCCUAUAAAACCUGCUAAAUGAGCUCACUAAGAGACCUUAUACUGCAC
This 458-nucleotide long non-coding RNA is filed under the name Cyanistes caeruleus (blue tit). RNAcentral's name for it is "lncRNA (ENSCCEG00000020030.1)". Lineage: Eukaryota; Metazoa; Chordata; Aves; Passeriformes; Paridae. The record is from RNAcentral.